RNAcentral lists this long non-coding RNA (6885 nucleotides) under Sus scrofa (pig). RNAcentral describes it as "lncRNA (ENSSSCG00000056627.1)". Lineage: Eukaryota; Metazoa; Chordata; Mammalia; Artiodactyla; Suidae. The record is from RNAcentral.
GGUCGAAUUGGAGCUGUAGCCACUGGUCUACACCACAGCUACAGCUACUCCAGAUCCGAGCCGUGUCCACAUUCUACACCACAGCUCACAGCAAUGCCGGAUCCUUAACUUACUGAGCAAGGCCAGGGAUUGAACCUGUGUCCUCUUGGAUACUAGUUAGAUUCAUUUCCACUGCACCAACAUGGGAACUCCUAGUUCUCUUUUUCAUUCUUUUCUCUUCUCAAAUGGGUAAUCCUUUUAUAAGUUUGAACAUUUUAAAAAAUAUAAAAAUAUAUGUGUUUAGCAUGUCGUUCUCUUCUGUCCCUACUCAUUUUGCUCACCUCUUCUCUGACCCCUAUAGGCAGUCUUUGAUGUUAGGUUCUUAUUUUUCCUUCUGGCGGUUUUUAAUGAAAAUAUAAGCAAAUAUGAAUAUAUAUUACUAUUUUCCUUCCUUUCUUACUUGGCAAACAUCAUACUGUAUAUACUGUCUUGAACCUUGUUUUUCUCAUUCUUAACAUCAGAACAUAAAGAUAUUUCUCUCUCUCUUUUUUUAAUAGCUGCCAGUAUUCCAUUGCAUGGACUCAUCCUUUAUUCAGCUUAACACUAUUGCCUUUUUCAGGUCUUUUGCUGUUAAAAAUGAUGCCACGAGGAACAAUUGGGUAUAUAACAUCCUAUAAGCUUGCAGGAAUACCUUUGCUGGGGCAAAAGAUAAAUUUAAUUUUAGCAGUGCUUGAACUACAUGGUUCUAACUUUUUAAAGAAAUUUAUUACAAUGAAUCUGUCAUCUCACAUUCCAGUAUAUUUUAAGAUAGAGUUCUAUGAAAUUUGUUACCGUAUUUACUUCCAGGUGCAUAACACAGUGGUUGAGAGCAUGGACUCUGGAGUCAGACAGUCCUAUGUUUGAAUCCUUGCUUUGCCACUUAUUGGACAGGCCAUGUUAGGCCAGUUGGUUUUCCUCUCUGAACCUCAGUUUCCACUAAGUGUAAAAUGUCCACCUCCUCAGGUCGUUGUGAGGAUUAAAUGAGGCAACAGAUGUAAAGUGCUUAGCACAGAACAGCACUCAAUAAUGAUAGCUGUUAAUUGUCAUUAAACAGUAAGCUUCAGGUCUGUCAAUCCUUUUGUCUCCAUGGCCCAGAACAGAGUUAGUCUCUUAGUAGGUGCUCAAUAAAUAACUGGUGAUUGAGUACAAUAGGGACACCACUGAGAUGCUUCAUUCCAUGUCUUUCCAUGAAGACAAAUCUCUUUCUUUUCUCAGGAUUAACUGUACUGCACUGGAUGGUGCAAUGGAUGGUAUCUCCCUCUUUUCACUUUGGCCACUAGGAAGCUCAGAGCCAAGUGUGCUUGUCUCCUCUAGCUAGUAUGCAGACCAUUAGGGCUGUUGUCUUGUAAACCAGUGUUUCUCAAACUUGGCUGUAUAGUAGAACUACCUGGGGCACCUGAAAGCAAUCCUGAUAGCCAGGUUACAUCUAUACCAGUUAAAUCAGGAUCUCUGGGAGUGCGAUUCCAGCAGCAGUACUUUUUAAAGCUCCUCAGGGGAUUCUAAUGCACAAUGAGAGAACAGGUAUUCUAAAUUAACCUUACCCCUGACUUUAUUUCAUUUUUUUCUAUCCUUAUUUUUCUUUCAUGAUAAUAAAUAUUAUAUCUCUUAUCCCCUCCGUCUAUAUCUUCAUCUUCCAUGUGGAAAGUAAUACAUGUCUUCUUAUGAGUCAUCAAAAACACGGUGCUUAGCAGUAAGGAGGCAGAGGAAUAGAGAAGGAAAUCGGUUCUUUCUCUCUCGAGAAAAAUUCAUUUAUUCAUUUAUGCAUGCAUCAUUCAUUUAUAUUCAGCAAAUAUUUAUGAAGUGCUUUGGGCUUCGUGCCAUGUUUGGGGAACGGGAUUACCUCCAUGUUUGGUGAAAAUCAUGUCUAAGAGAGAUCCUUCCUAGUGAAUAUGUUUUUUAGGCAUAUGAUAAUUUCACGUUGUCUGACAGGAGCUGUGCUUCUGACAUUUCUCUUGCCCUCCAGGGAGGAUCUUGGCAUUUACCCAGAGAAACAUCCUAACGUGUCCACAGCAGGGAGUGGUAAAGAACCUAGACGCGUGUCAGUCACCAGAAGGCAUCUCAGCCCCAGGAAAGCUGAGUAUUUGUAUGAUGAAGCACAGAGUGGAUUUUGGCUUACGUCUUUCAUCACUUGGCCGAGUCCUCUGUCAGAUGAAAAGGUAGCAGCUCGGAGCAUUAGUGGAAACAGCCGUCAGCCUAAGCUCCUUGUGAGAGCAGCAGGCUGGGAUGAGGAAGGCUGGGUGUGGGCUGACGACAGUGGCAGUGACCCUCAAUCACACAGACCCAAAGUACUCAGAGAGCCCCUUUGGCACCAGCCAAGAUGCAUCGUGGCUGCUGCAGACCCUGGGGCAGAUCCUUCAGCAGCAGUGUUCCCCAGUCCGUGCUGAGCUGAGGAAGGACAAAGAAAAGAGGUGCCAGCAGGCCCCUGGCGACAAUUUGCACAAAAGGUCAAUUUGGAUUUCUUAUCUGAAUGUAGAUUCUGCUUGAGUUUGUGGGUCUGGCUGUCUCUACACAGAGUGGUAGUGGAAGGAAGCCUGCAGCAGGGGCCACUCUUAAGCCAGGUCAUGCUUUGCAGUGGGGUGUUCCAGCCAAGGUGAGAAAAUGUGAGUCGCUCCCCAGUGGGUGCAAAUAUGUGGGAGAAAAUUGAAUAGAAUCCAUUCCCUCCUCACCCCCCACCCCCAUUCUACCAGGGAGCAUGCCUCUCCCUCACUCUCUCUUUUGUUCUCAUUUUCAGUUUUUCUGUGUCCUGCCAAAGCCUUUCUGUUGUUAAAAAAGAAAUUAGAACCAAACGGAGAAGGGGGAACCGCUGUGGCCAAAGAUAACACCAAAAAAGGUGGCAAUUGGUGGCAGCCUCAGUUUUCCUCAGCUGGUCAGAGUCUCAAAUAAACAAGCAGAAAUUCAUGGCAUCGCUGGUACCCACACAUCUGGUGGGGCCAAGCAGCACAGCAGGGCCACUGCAUGCCCUUGAGUUCUUGCCACAAUGGUGCCACUCAGACCCCAGGGACCUUCCAGCCUCACUCCCUGGGCUCCUUCUCCCCUUCUUCUUUUUCAGGGAGGUGAGGCUCUAUUGCCUCCGUGGCUUUCAGCCCCAGGACAUGAAUGCCCUUCCCCAAUUUUGGAAGGAUUUAUGCCCUUUGGUGGAGCAGGUUUUAAAGCCAAAAGGUUUUUCAUGAUGGGCAAACACACAAAUAAUGGCACCACCACGGCCUGUGGUGGAGGCCUGUGUGGUCAGACUUGUUGGCCAAUGAGCUGAGUGGGUGGGGGCUCUCCGUGGGUCCCAGGGGGAAUCAAGGAACUUUAGAAGAGUGAGUCUUCUAAAGUGUGUCUGUUCAGCUUCUCUCGGCAAGAGGCAAGCUUUGCAGGGUGCCUUUUUGGACAGGGUUGUCUGGGCCACUGGGCCGGGCUUUCCCGAAAAGCCACCUGAGCACUUGACUUAAUGCUGACAUAAGGAAGUGGUCAUGACUGGAAACUUGAAUCUGGAAUGGGGGCUCUUCCUGCCCAGGGUACUUUUGUGCACCUUGCUGGAUAAAGUGAGCUUUCGCUGCUCCGUGGGCAGCCUCGUGAGUGGGAAAGGCGUCUAGCUGAGAGGCAUGAGGUGUGGACCCACUUGGUCAGUCGUCUGCUGUGCUACUUGGGACAACUCACUCAGCAUCUCUGGGCCUCACAUGAGCAUCUCAGCCCCUUUCCACCUCAAGAUAUUUUAUGUAAUCAAGUGUGUUAGUAAUUUGGUGUCUUUCAUUCUCUGUAGUUUAUGUAGACAGGAAGUGGAGUUGUGUUAAAAAGAAAGUGGGUGAAGCCAAAACACACAUACACAAAACCCCUCGGCAUCUCUCCGUUGAGUUUCACUUGUCAGAAAGUGCUGCUAAAGGACAGCUUGAUUUUUCUUUAUGCGGCUCGUCUGCGAAUAGCACUUGAAUGAAAAUAUUCUCUUUCAUCUUUGUGACAGAAAUAUGAUUCAGUAAUUCUUUGUGAAAAUGAGGAUGAUACACUGCCAUAGUUACAGUGAGUUAGGUUUAAGUGGCAAAUGCCUACUGAUAAAGACUUAAUUAAAGACACAAUAGCAGUGGGAGGUCAUUAUGGUAAUUACAGUCCCAGCUUUAUUGUGGGGGCCCAGUACUGAAUUGUAGCAGCACAUUAUCGCUACAUAGUGUCUUGGUUUGAGGAGGCAGUGAUCCCAUCCUGAGAUUUUAGACUUUCAUUGACUAUAGGAUCCGUGCUCUUUGCAGAUGCCCUGGUUCAACUUUGUUUUAGUGUAGGGUUUGUGCAUCAUUAAAAAAAAAUGCAUGAUAAAAUAAAUCAGUAAUCCUGUAUGGGGGCAUCCUGUUUCUUUUUUUUUUUUCCCCGUUUUUUUCUUUUUUUUUUUUUUUUUUUGACACCUGUGGUAUGUGAAGGGUUGUGAAGGUGCCUGGAAUUUCUUUACGGCAGCACAUCCAUAAGCCUUAUAGGGGGAAUUAUGAGGCCUUGGAGAACAAACUGUUGUGAGGCCAUUCUUUGCCUGGAAUGGAGCCAUGGGUGGUGCAGUGGGAAGACCUGGAAUAGUCUGACUUAGAGGUGGUUGUGAAGUGUGGAAAGCUGUUGUUUCCCAUUUAUGAGCAAGGAAGCAGAGCUCUCAGCAUCUCCCUAGGGCCUCUGCCUCUGGGAUGCUGUUAUAUUACUUUGAAGGCAUUGCGCCAUGCCAGAUCACAGGAAGAGGGCCUUUGUGCAUUUAAGGACUUGUAGGAAAGAGGACAGGGUCUUGAACUGGGUUUCUUGUCACAUAGGUUGGAAUGUUGGUAGCAAAGGAUAAGAGGCACCAGCAGUUUGCCACUGCGGUAAAGAAUAUUGUCAUCAUAAUUAGUUACCUUCGAUUGAAUAACAUAAUAUUGGUAGGCGUUCCCGUCGUGGCUCAGUGGUUAACGAAUCUGACUAGGAACCAUGCAGUUGCGGGUUCGAUCCCUGGCUUUGCUCAGUGGGUUAAGGAUCUGGCGUUGCUGUGAGCUGUGGUGUAGGUCGCAGAUGUGGCUCAGAUCCCGCAUUGCUGUGGCUCUGGCAUAGGUCGGCGGCUACAGCUCCGAUUCGACCCCUAGUCUGGGAACCUCCAUGUACCACGGGAGCGGCCCUAGAAGAGGCAAAAAGACAAAAAACAAAAACAAAAACAAAAUUGGUAGGUUAAGCAUGAAGGUCCAUCAUAGGACAUUUUCUUCAAUAGGAGUCUUCUAAGAAAGUAGAAUGGUGGUUGCCAGCAGCGUGGGGGAGAGGCAACUGGGGAAUUCAGUUUCAGUUUGGGAAGAUGACAAAGUCCUGAAGAUGGAUUACAGUGUUGGCUGCACAGCAAUGCGAACAUACUUAUGUCACUGAACUAUACCCUUAAAAAUGGUGAAUGUGGGCAAUUUUAUGUGGUGUGUGUUUCGUCACAGUUUUAGAAAACUCUAGUCUUCUGCUUUUUUGAAGUCUGGGAUAAGUCGUUUUUGGGUUAUUAGAUAUUCUAUUCAACUAGUUGAAGUUGUAGAAGGUUUUAUCCUUUUUCCCAAAGACACUGUUUUUUUUUUUUUUUUUCUGACUUUUGCCUUGAUGUUAGCUUGCCUAAUGAUUCUUCAAGAGGCAUUUCUGUCCCUGACCAGAAUGAUGUAAUGAGAUGUAUAGAUCAAACAAGAAAAGACUCAUGGAGUACAAUUUUAGGAUAUCCAGGGAAUAUACCUCAAAAUAUUUUCCACAUUAUCCUGCUGCUAAUGCUAGAAAUGGUCUGAGCAGCAAUUCAUUCCUUCGGAUUACUUUAGAAGCUAUAGAUUCCUUUAAAAUGGACAAAAGUAUGGCCAGGAAAGUGCUCCUUGACUCUUCCCGAGCAGUCCUAGGCCAUCAAGGCUCAGAUGAAAUUAAAUGGGAUCCCAUAGUCCUCCUUAGGUCUUGGGUCCUGAAUCUUCUUGAGCCUCUUUGCUGGUUCCUGACUUUGGUUAAGACCCUGGAUGUUGGCUACUUGAGAUUUGGCUGGUUGGAUCAGCUUACUGGUUGGAUCUCACUUUGGCUUUGCCUAAUUGACUCAUCUGCUGCCUCCUUGUCUGGCUUUGAUAUGUAGCUGCAUCUCUUCUGGCAUCUACCUCCAGCAAGUCCCAGGUUUGGUUUUUACUACAUUUCACCAGGAUUCAGGGUCUUGUUUUAAAAUGCCGAUAAUUUCCAAAGGAGUGACUACUCUUCCUUAAACCACCUAAGUGAUUAAGUUCCAGAAGAGUGUCCUUGGGUGGAAACUUCGACUUGGGUGAAAAGUGGGAGUAGGAUGCUUAAUGGUGGAGAGAAAUAGUCAGUAAUUGAAGACGUUGGUACCUCAUUCUCAACAGCUGAUAGAACUAUUAGAAGAUCCGCAAGAUUACAGAAGAACUGAACAAACUUUCAAACAAUAGGAUCUAAUUAACAUUUAUAGAGUACUUUACCCAACAAUAACAGGAUAUAUAUUCUUUUCAAGCACUCAUGAAACAUUCACCAAGAUAGAUAACAUCCUGAAUCAAAAAUCAAACUUAAAAAAAUUUAAAGAAUUGAAAUGGUAUAGAUUAUUUUUUUUGGACCAUAAUGGAAUCAAACUCAAAACCAUGAUUUAAAAGACAACAGAAAAAUCUCCAAAUACUUGGAAAUGAAACAACACAGUUCUAAAUAACCUGUGGAAACCUCAAAACACAUUUUAAAAAUACUUAGAAUUGAAUAAAAAAGAAAACAACAUAUCAGCAUUUAUGGGAUACAGUGUUAAGAGGGAACUUCAUACCAUUAAAUGUUUAUAUUAGAAAAGAGGAGGAGCUCCCUUGUGGUGCAGUGGGUUGAAGAUCUGGCAUUGUCACUGCAUUGGCCCAGGUCACUGCUGUGGUGUGGAUUUGGUCCCUAGCCUGGGAACUUCUACAUGCCAUG